AAGCAUAUCAAUAAGCGGAGGAAAAGAAACUAACAAGGAUUCCCCUAGUAACUGCGAGUGAAGCGGGAAAAGCUCAAAUUUAAAAUCUGGCGGUCUUUGGCCGUCCGAGUUGUAAUCUAGAGAAGUAAUGCCCGUGCUGGACCGUGUAUAAGUCUCCUGGGAUGGGGCGUCAUAGAGGGUGAGAAUCCCGUCUUUGACACGGACUACCAGUGCAUUGUGGUAUGCUCUCAAAGAGUCGAGUUGUUUGGGAAUGCAGCUCAAAAUGGGUGGUAAAUUCCAUCUAAAGCUAAAUAUUGGCGAGAGACCGAUAGCGAACAAGUACCGUGAGGGAAAGAUGAAAAGAACUUUGGAAAGAGAGUUAAACAGUACGUGAAAUUGCUGAAAGGGAAACGCUUGAAGUCAGUCGCGUUGGCCAGGGAUCAGCCUUGCUCUUGCAUGGUGUACUUUCUGGUUGACGGGUCAGCAUCAAUUUUGACCGCUGGAAAAGGGCCUGGGGAAUGUGGCAGCUUCGGCUGUGUUAUAGCCCCUGGUCGCAUACGGUGGUUGGGAUUGAGGAACUCAGCACGCCGCAAGGCCGGGUUUCGACCACGUUCGUGCUUAGGAUGCUGGCAUAAUGGCUUUAAGCGACCCG
RNAcentral lists this ribosomal RNA (631 nucleotides) under Agaricus bambusetorum. RNAcentral describes it as "partial large subunit ribosomal RNA". It matches the Rfam family "Eukaryotic large subunit ribosomal RNA", at positions 36 to 651 of the family's 3401-position model. Lineage: Eukaryota; Fungi; Basidiomycota; Agaricomycetes; Agaricales; Agaricaceae. The record is from RNAcentral.